UACGGAGGGUGCAAGCGUUGUCCGGAUUUAUUGGGUUUAAAGGGUGCGUAGGCGGCCGACUAAGUCAGUGGUGAAAGGCAGCAGCUCAACUGUUUGCACGGCCAUUGAUACUGGUUAGCUUGAGUACAGUCGAGGUAGGCGGAAUUGAAGGUGUAGCGGUGAAAUGCAUAGAUAUCUUCAAGAACACCUAUUGCGAAGGCAGCUUACUAGGCUGUAACUGACGCUGAUGCACGAAAGCGUGGGGAUCGAACAGGAUUAGAUACCCUGGUAGUCCACGCCGUAAACGAUGAUCACUCGCUGUUAGCGAUAUACUGUUAGCGGCUAAGCGAAAGCAAUAAGUGAUCCACCUGGGGAGUACGCUCGCAAGAGUGAA
This 373-nucleotide ribosomal RNA is filed under the name uncultured bacterium. RNAcentral's name for it is "bacterial SSU rRNA". It matches the Rfam family "Bacterial small subunit ribosomal RNA", at positions 524 to 898 of the family's 1533-position model. The record is from RNAcentral.